Molecule: ribosomal RNA, 459 nt
Filed under: uncultured bacterium
Lineage: Bacteria
Description: partial 16S ribosomal RNA
Rfam family: Bacterial small subunit ribosomal RNA
Source: RNAcentral
CCUACGGGAGGCAGCAGUGAGGAAUAUUGGUCAAUGGGCGGGAGCCUGAACCAGCCAAGUCGCGUGAAGGAAGAAGGUACUUAGUAUUGUAAACUUCUUUUGUCGGGGAACAAAGGCGGAGACGCGUCUCCGGAUGAGUGUACCCGAAGAAAAAGCAUCGGCUAACUCCGUGCCAGCAGCCGCGGUAAUACGGAGGAUGCGAGCGUUAUCCGGAUUUAUUGGGUUUAAAGGGUGCGCAGGCGGGAGAUCAAGUCAGCGGUAAAAUGUCGGGGCUCAACCCCGGCCGGCCGUUGAAACUGGUUGUCUAGAGUUGGAGAGAAGUAUGCGGAAUUCGUGGUGUAGCGGUGAAAUGCAUAGAUACCACGAAGAACUCCGAUUGCGAAGGCAGCAUACCGGCUCCAGACUGACGCUGAGGCACGAAAGCGUGGGGAUCGAACAGGAUUAGAUACCCCAGUAGUC